This 93-nucleotide non-coding RNA is filed under the name uncultured Phascolarctobacterium sp. RNAcentral describes it as "NiCo riboswitch". It matches the Rfam family "NiCo (Nickel/Cobalt) riboswitch aptamer". Lineage: Bacteria; Bacillati; Bacillota; Negativicutes; Acidaminococcales; Acidaminococcaceae. The record is from RNAcentral.
ACAGUACAAACUGAUCAGGCGGUCAACCUCUAAUAGGUUUUUGCAGCCGGGCCCCUUGGGCAGCAGACUAGAAUUAGGCGUCUGCGGGACAGU